UACGAAGGGGGCAAGCGUUACUCGGAAUUACUGGGCGUAAAGCGUGCGUAGGGGGUUCGUUAAGUCUGAUGUGAAAGCCCUGGGCUCAACCUGGGAAUUGCAUUGGAUACUGGCGGGCUAGAGUGCGGUAGAGGAUGGCGGAAUUCCCGGUGUAGCAGUGAAAUGCGUAGAGAUCGGGAGGAACAUCUGUGGCGAAGGCGGCCAUCUGGACCAGCACUGACACUGAGGCACGAAAGCGUGGGGAGCAAACAGG
Molecule: ribosomal RNA, 253 nt
Filed under: uncultured bacterium
Lineage: Bacteria
Description: partial 16S ribosomal RNA
Rfam family: Bacterial small subunit ribosomal RNA
Source: RNAcentral